GAUGAACGCUAGCGGCAGGCCUAAUACAUGCAAGUCGGACGGGAUUUGGGAGCUUGCUCCUAAUGAGAGUGGCGCACGGGUGCGUAACACGUAUGUAACCUACCUUAGUCAGGGGGAUAGCCUCUCGAAAGAGAGAUUAAGACCGCAUAACAUUAUUGAGUGGCAUCAUUUAAUAAUCAAAUAUUUAUAGGACUAAGAUGGGCAUGCGGAACAUUAGCUAGUUGGUAAGUUAACGGCCUACCAAGGCAACGAUGUUUAGGGGAUCUGAGAGGAUGGCCCCCCACACUGGUACUGAGACACGGACCAGACUCCUACGGGAGGCAGCAGUAAGGAAUAUUGGUCAAUGGGCGGAAGCCUGAACCAGCCAUGCCGCGUGCAGGAAGACGGCCCUACGGGUUGUAAACUGCUUUUAUACGGGAAUAAACCUACUUACGUGUAAGUAGCUGAAUGUACUGUAAGAAUAAGGAUCGGCUAACUCCGUGCCAGCCGCCGCGGUAA
Molecule: ribosomal RNA, 498 nt
Filed under: uncultured bacterium
Lineage: Bacteria
Description: partial 16S ribosomal RNA
Rfam family: Bacterial small subunit ribosomal RNA
Source: RNAcentral